RNAcentral lists this unclassified non-coding RNA (2429 nucleotides) under Drosophila virilis. Its description in RNAcentral is "GJ10689". Lineage: Eukaryota; Metazoa; Arthropoda; Insecta; Diptera; Drosophilidae. The record is from RNAcentral.
AUGUACAGCACAAACGCGUCCAACCAGCCGGAGCGCUCCAAUUCCCAAGCAGCUCCAACUACAAGUUACUUGAGUCGCGAGGUACGCACUGCAGCCGAGCACACAGAGCCUGUCAAUCUGACUCAGCAGCAGCUGCCCGUCACGGACUAUGUCCAACGCUCCUAUGUGGAGCAGCGUGCACUUCCCACUUCCGACUAUUCCGCGCGCUCCCAGCUAGAACAGUCCAAUCUCAGCACAGAACGCUUCAUGCAGCAGCGGGCGCCGCCGCCUAAUCCAGAGUAUAACAGACCCCGAGCCAGCUUGGAGCGCACCGAUUACACCGCUAAAGAACGCACCAGCACUGAAACCAACAACAACAGCAACAAUUACAACGAUUAUGUGCUCCAGGAGCGUUCCAAUCCCAACUAUGUUUUGCCAUCGCAGAUGCGUCCAGCUGCGGGGCCACCACAGCACCGUCCGCCCUUUGCGGGCGCACGUCCCAUGGUGGGCGUGGGGCCACGUCCACCGCUGCCGCCCAAUAUGGCAGCCAGGCCCAUGCCACCGCCGCUGCGCCCAACCGACAGCAAGAGCAACUUGCUCAUGGGCCCGCCACCACCAGCCAUGCGGCCGGGCAUGCCGCCCGCACGUAUGCCCAACCAGGGCGGACCACUUAGCCCACCAGGGCAGGGCGCGCCCAGGCCUCAAGGCGGAUUUCCCUGGUCGGCGGGAGGCAUGCCGCCGCCACCGGGCGCACGUCCGCCACAGAACAUGUCUCGACCGCCGCCGCCCACAUUUGCGCGUCCCAUGCCAGGGCAGCCGCUGCAGGCGCCUUUCCGUCCGCCGCUCUACAACCAGCAGCAGCAGCAGCAGCACCAGCAGCAGCAAUUGCAACAGCUGCAGCAGCAACAACAAUUGCAGCAGCCGCAGCAACAGCAGCAUCAGCCACGCCCACCCUCAGCCAGCAGUGUGCACAAUGAGGAUGACGAUGACGUCAUCAUGGGUCAAGCCUUAACCCCGCUCAAGAGCUACAGCAUGAAGGCUGAUCCCAUGGGCUCCCCACUGCUAGAGGAAACAGAGCCCCCAUUUGAAGCCACAUCGCCAACAGAUGCAUUGCCCAAGUCACAGGGCGGUUACAAGGGUGACAAUGACAGCGGCGUGGAUGAAUCGACUCAGGAGAAGGAUCGCAACGGACCGCAUUCGCCCAGCUCGCCGGUCAAGACGCCCACAUCAAGCUCAUCGAAGCCAGACAAGUCGGGCAUAUCGCGCCCUCCGAGUGCCACGCCCUCAAAUAAAUCAGCAUCCAAGUCGCGCAGCGCCUCCAAGAAUCGUUUGCUGCUAAAGACACCCGAGCCUGAGCCGGCCAAGAAAGUUCCAAUGAACAAGGUACAGGUGGGACAUGCCCCUUCGCCCAAUCUGAAGGCGGUACGCUCCAAAAUUGGUUCGCUGGACAAUGCUACCUAUAAGCCCGGCGGCGGUCAUGUUAAAAUUGAGUCCAAGAAAAUUGAGAUUAAGGCAGCGCCACGCAUCGAGGCCAAGAAUGACAAGUAUAUGCCCAAGGGUGGCGAAAAGAAGAUAGUAACAACAAAGUUGCAGUGGAAUGCAAAAUCGAAAAUUGGUUCGCUGGAGAAUGCCGCCCAUAAGCCCGGCGGCGGCGAUAAAAAGAUCGAGUCCCUCAAAAUGGACUUCAAGGACAAGGCCAAGCCGAAGGUCGGCUCCAAGGACAAUGUGAAGCAUCAGCCCGGCGGCGGCGAUAUCAAGGAUAACAACACAAAGAAUAUACAAUCGCAAAAAAUAGAAAUUAAGGCACAAAGCAAAGUUGGCUCGAUGGAUAAUGUUAAGCACAAGCCCGGUGGCGGUGAGAAGAAGAUUUUCGAUGAUAAGGAUUAUUUGAAAAAUGUUGAACACUCUGUUGCACUGACAACACCACCAACACAGGAAUAUAUAUAUACAUUUUAUUAGUCAUAGUCAUACGAAAACUCUUAACCAAGUGCAUUAAAUUCGAAACAGAAAAGAACCGUAUACUCGUACUAUACUAAUGUGACGUCCAUUAAACCGACUUCUAGUUAUGAAACGAUGCGAUUUUAUGCCAUAUUUUCGUAUAACGCUCACGAUUAAAGUCCUAGUCCACAACCAUCCAUGACGGCUUCAACAAGCGGCGCUGAUGAAAAUUUAAAUCAACAAAGUUAAAUCCAGUCCAAAUAUGCAUGUUGAGCUGAAGUUUUACUUUCGUUUGAUGCAAAUUUGCAAAUUACAUAAAUUGCAAAAGAAGAAAAAAACUAAAUUGAAAAUAACAAAUAAAAAAAAAAGAAUUUUGAACAAAGCUUAUUUGAAAAAUGUAAUCUUAAGCAAAAGUUACACAAAUUGAAAUAUAUGCAAUAAUUACCACACAAUACGAGUAUUUACUCAAAAUUAAAUUGUGCAAGCACACAACACACACUCCGUUACAAAAA